RNAcentral lists this ribosomal RNA (338 nucleotides) under Fritziana aff. fissilis 1 SCF-2015. RNAcentral's name for it is "partial 16S ribosomal RNA". The record is from RNAcentral. Lineage: Eukaryota; Metazoa; Chordata; Amphibia; Anura; Hemiphractidae.
GCCAAAAAUCUAGCCCUCAAACUGCCCCCGACCCCAACACCUUGUAUUUACCAAUCAAAACAUUCAUUAAAUUUAGUAAAGGCGAUUAAAAAAUUAAUUGGCGCGAUAUAUUUAGUACCGCAAGGGAAAGAUGAAAUAAAAUGAAAAACUUCAAGCACAUAAAAGCAGAGACUUUACCUCGUACCUUUUGCAUCAUGGUUUAACUAGUCUAAUCAAGCGAAAAGAUUUAAAGUUUGACCUCCCGAAACUAAGCGAGCUACUUCAAGGCAGCCUAACGGGCGACCCCGUCUCUGUUGCAAAAGAGUGGAAAGACCUUCAAGUAGAAGUGACAGACCUAU